UCCUGGUUUCCCAGGCAGUCCCAUCAGAGUGCCUUCUUGCGAAGUAGCAACUGAUAGUAGGGGUUGCGCUCGUUAUAGGACUUAACCCAACAUCUCACGACACGAGCUGACGACAGCCAUGCAGCACCUGUGUAAAUGUCUCUGGUUUCCCAGAGAAAACUCCGUUUCUGGAGCGGUCAUAUACAUGUCAAACCUAGGUAAGGUUCCUCGCGUAGUGUCGAAUUAAACCACAUGUUCCACCGCUUGUGCGGACCCCCGUCAAUUCCUUUGAGUUUUAAUCUUGCGAUCGUAGUUCCCAGGCGGAUCACUUAACGCGUUAGCUACGACACCAAUUCUGCAGAGCAGAACCAACGUCUAGUGAUCAUCGUUUACAGCGUGGACUAC
RNAcentral lists this unclassified non-coding RNA (384 nucleotides) under uncultured bacterium. RNAcentral's name for it is "contains 16S-23S intergenic spacer region". The record is from RNAcentral.